RNAcentral lists this ribosomal RNA (834 nucleotides) under uncultured bacterium. RNAcentral's name for it is "bacterial SSU rRNA". It matches the Rfam family "Bacterial small subunit ribosomal RNA", at positions 547 to 1381 of the family's 1533-position model. The record is from RNAcentral.
GNAUUUAUUGGGCGUAAAGCGAGCGCAGGCGGUUAGAUAANUCUGAAGUUAAAGGCUGUGGCUUAACCAUAGUACGCUUUGGAAACUGUUUAACUUGAGUGCAAGAGGGGAGAGUGGANUUCCAUGUGUAGCGGUGAAAUGCGUAGAUAUAUGGAGGAACACCGGUGGCGAAGGCGGCUCUCUGGCUUGUAACUGACGCUGAGGCUCGAAAGCGUGGGGAGCAAACAGGAUUAGAUACCCNUGGUAGUCCACGCCGUAAACGAUGAGUGCUAGGUGUUAGACCCUUUCCGGGGUUUAGUGCCGCAGCUAACGCAUUAAGCACUCCGCCUGGGGAGUACGACCGCAAGGUUGAAACUCAAAGGAAUUGACGGGGGCCCGCACAAGCGGUGGAGCAUGUGGUUUAAUUCGAAGCAACGCGAAGAACCUUACCAGGUCUUGACAUCCCUCUGACCGUUCUAGAGAUAGAGCUUUCCUUCGGGACAGAGGUGACAGGUGGUGCAUGGUUGUCGUCAGCUCGUGUCGUGAGAUGUUGGGUNNNNNNNNNCAACGAGCGCAACCCCUAUUGUUAGUUGCCAUCAUUCAGUUGGGCACUCUAGCGAGACUGCCGGUAAUAAACCGGAGGAAGGUGGGGAUGACGUCAAAUCAUCAUGCCCCUUAUGACCUGGGCUACACACGUGCUACAAUGGCUGGUACAACGAGUCGCAAGCCGGUGACGGCAAGCUAAUCUCUUAAAGCCAGUCUCAGUUCGGAUUGUAGGCUGCAACUCGCCUACAUGAAGUCGGAAUCGCUAGUAAUCGCGGAUCAGCACGCCGCGGUGAAUACGUUCCCGGGCCU